GGUUGUCGUCAGCUCGUGUCGUGAGAUGUUGGGUUAAGUCCCGCAACGAGCGCAACCCCUAUUGUUAGUUGCCAUCAUCCAGUUGGGCACUCUAGCGAGACUGCCGGUAAUAAACCGGAGGAAGUGGGAUGACGUCAAAUCAUCAUGCCCCUUAUGACCUGGGCUACACACGUGCUACAAUGGUUGGUACAACGAGUUGCGAGUCGGUGACGGCGAGCUAAAUCUCUUAAAGCCAAUCUCAGUUCGGAUUGUAGGCUGCAACUCGCCUACAUGAAGUCGGAAUCGCUAGUAAUCGCGGAUCAGCACGCCGCGGUGAAUACGUUCCCGGGCCUU
This 333-nucleotide ribosomal RNA is filed under the name uncultured Streptococcus sp. Its description in RNAcentral is "bacterial SSU rRNA". It matches the Rfam family "Bacterial small subunit ribosomal RNA", at positions 1047 to 1382 of the family's 1533-position model. Lineage: Bacteria; Bacillati; Bacillota; Bacilli; Lactobacillales; Streptococcaceae. The record is from RNAcentral.